UUAUUGGGCGUAAAGCGAGCGCAGACGGUUUAUUAAGUCUGAUGUGAAAUCCCGAGGCCCAACCUCGGAACUGCAUUGGAAACUGAUUUACUUGAGUGCGAUAGAGGCAAGUGGAACUCCAUGUGUAGCGGUGAAAUGCGUAGAUAUGUGGAAGAACACCAGUGGCGAAAGCGGCUUGCUAGAUCGUAACUGACGUUGAGGCUCGAAAGUAUGGGUAGCAAACGGGAUUAGAUACCCCGGUAGUUCAUACCGUAAACGAUGGGUGCUAGUUGUUAAGAGGUUUCCGCCUCCUAGUGACGUAGCAAACGCAUUAAGCACCCCGCCUGAGGAGUACGGCCGCAAGGCUAAAACUUAAAGGAAUUGACGGGGACCCGCACAAGCGGUGGAGCAUGUGGUUUAAUUCGAAGAUACGCGAAAAACCUUACCAGGUCUUGACAUACCAAUGAUCGCUUUUGUAAUGAAAGCUUUUCUUCGGAACAUUGGAUACAGGUGGUGCAUGGUCGUCGUCAGCUCGUGUCGUGAGAUGUUGGGUUAAGUCCCGCAACGAGCGCAACCCUU
RNAcentral lists this ribosomal RNA (558 nucleotides) under Oenococcus oeni. Its description in RNAcentral is "bacterial SSU rRNA". It matches the Rfam family "Bacterial small subunit ribosomal RNA", at positions 551 to 1106 of the family's 1533-position model. Lineage: Bacteria; Bacillati; Bacillota; Bacilli; Lactobacillales; Lactobacillaceae. The record is from RNAcentral.